Molecule: ribosomal RNA, 254 nt
Filed under: uncultured bacterium
Lineage: Bacteria
Description: partial 16S ribosomal RNA
Rfam family: Bacterial small subunit ribosomal RNA
Source: RNAcentral
UACGAAGGGGGCUAGCGUUGCUCGGAAUUACUGGGCGUAAAGGGCGCGUAGGCGGAUAGUUUAGUCAGAGGUGAAAGCCCAGGGCUCAACCUUGGAAUUGCCUUUGAUACUGGCUGUCUUGAGUUCGGGAGAGGUGAGUGGAAUGCCGAGUGUAGAGGUGAAAUUCGUAGAUAUUCGGCGGAACACCAGUGGCGAAGGCGACUCACUGGCCCGAUACUGACGCUGAGGCGCGAAAGCGUGGGGAGCAAACAGGG